AGAAUUUAAGGGUGUUUUCCUGACUUUCCUGAUGGAUGACCUUGCUAAAAAUUCCAGGCGACGCUGGUAUCCAGAGAGGGUUCUGUGUGAAAAGAGAUUCCAUGAGACAAAUGGAAGAACAAGGAGAGGCGAAAGGAACAAUAGAGGUCUUUCAGAAGCAGGUCAACAAACAUUGAUGCAGCAUUUUCUUUGUGCGUGUUGAAGUAACAAUGAGCCUCAGAACUUCUAAUAAGCAGCAUAAUUGCCAUGUGGAGAAGGCUACAUUAUACAACACCAAUUUCUCUCUGAAGAUCCACCACCUCCGGAUGAAUGUUACUGAUUCCUACUGUCUAUUUCAUAGAUCUUCAACUCUUGUUCUUUUGUUUAAAGAUAUGAGUCUAAGCUUAGACAUAUAUGAUGCUUUCAAUUCAAAAAUGUUGUUUAGAAAAGGCGCUCAUUUAAAGAAUUUGCUGAAAGCUAAAGGAUAACCAAAGCAAAAGGCACACACAGGGUAACAUAAAUCUAGAAUAUAUGUUUUGCCAUAUGUAUUUUUCUCAUUUCCAAUCUAUUGUUAAAUACAUGGCAUCCUCCUACCACACCCUUACUUCCACUAGGCAGAGCAUCCAUUUAUUCUCUACCAUGCACAAGUCUUUGGCUUCAAAGUCAUAGGUUUCCAUGGUUACAGUUCUUCAUUGGUGUUCUUAUUUUCCUCAGGUAACUGAUAUUAAACUGGACUUCCCUCUCUUGCUCAAACCUCUGAGGUCCUCAUAGGCUAGAUUAUCAUCAAUAUAAUAUGACAACCUUAAGAUUCAUAUUAAACACAAACACUCUUGGUAAUUGGAAGGGAGAAAGUGAGAGGGAGGAGUCUUGAAAGAGAAUAUUGUUUCAUUACCUUUUCUUUCAAUUUUUGGGUAGCUUUUAUGGUCGUAAAGUAGCCUUUGGGAAAAAAUAUUGGAGACACUUGCAGUUUUAAGGCUUUAUCAAUGUCUGGUAAUGUGAUGUGGAGAUGAUAGAGCUUAAAUGUGAUGUGUUAAGCCACUGUUUCAGCACAUUUAAGCCAUGACUAAAAAGAGAAUUAUGAAUAUACCUGUAAAAAAGGAUAGAUGAGAAAUAAAGAAGUGUUGAAGCAUUCGGAUGACUAGUGAAGGAAAUCUCUUAGUCUAAAUUGGUCUGAUAGUCUUAAAAUGUGGAAUAGAACGUGGAGAAGAGUCCAUAACUAUCGAGCCAUAAGAGUGUAAUACAUACUAGAAGGGUAUUUGGGGGCUCAGGAGGAGGUGGGGAUGGUUAGCAGGUACAAAAUAAAAUAGAGUGAAUGAAUAAGACCUA
RNAcentral lists this long non-coding RNA (1305 nucleotides) under Homo sapiens (human). RNAcentral's name for it is "HSALNT0301932". Lineage: Eukaryota; Metazoa; Chordata; Mammalia; Primates; Hominidae. The record is from RNAcentral.